UUUUUUCUUUUUUUUGGUUCAUUUUUAAGAGGUCAGUAACUAGUAGGAGUAUAAGUUGGUAAAAUCCUUCUGGUGGGAAUUUUGUCAACUAAAUAUGAAGAGUUUGAAAAGUGUUCCCAUACUUUUCAUACUUACAGAAAUCCUCUUUAAAAAUGUUCUAUAGGGGAUCCCUGGGUGGCUCAGCAGUUUGGCGCCUGCCUUUGGUCCAGGGCGUGAUCCUGGAGACCCAGGAUCGAGUCCCAUGUCAGGCUCCCUGCGUGGAGCCUGCUUCUCCCUCUGCCUGUGUCUCUGCCUCUCUCUCUCUCUCUCUCUCUCUCUCUGUCUCUCAUGAAUAAAUAAAUAAAAUUUAAAAAGUAAAAUAAAAAUGUUCUAUAUAUGUAAUUAAAAAUGUUGACAAAUUCCAUAGGUAGGGAUCUAUACAGUUUUCAAAUAUACUUAAUAUUCUUAAUAUCUAACUUCUUCUCACACAACUUUCUAACUUAUAGCCUAUAAGGGUUCUUCGUGUAUAAUUCUGUACAUUAAAAAAAAAAAAAAAAAAAAACCCUUUAGCUUCCGAAAGUUACCUUGUUAGGACAAGGUGUUUACCAACCAUUCCCUCACAUACUGUGCUCAAGUCUAGCUCCUUCCCCUCUUUCCAGAUGAAGAAGUCACAUAGCUACAGUGUUGAAAAAUAUUUGGAAAAUAUGUCCAAAACUUGAGUACUGGUUAAAUAAAUUACAGAGCAUUCAAAUGAUGGCAACCUGGGCAGUAAUUUCAAGUUGUAUUUUGGGGGACUUUGAACACAGAUAUUCUCUCCUGAAAUAACACUGACAUAAAGGCUUAGAAGUUAAACAAACAAAUAUAAAACUUCACGAGUGAAGAGAAUGGGUGGUAGCAUCACCAAUGAAUGAGAUAUUCAACAAAUUUAAGAAUGACAUGGAAAAGAUAAUGUUGAUGUGUCUUUUAAGGGGGAGAGAAGGCUGAAGCCCCAAAUAUUCUAUAAGAAGACUGAGAGUAAGUGUGUAUUAAUCGGCCCAUUUCACCCCUCAAGAGAUUCUGAUCUUAAAAUCAGUGGUUAUGAGAGAGAUAGGUCUUAGAAGAGAAAUAGGACUAAAGCAGAAGUAUUGAAUGGGUCAGUUUAGACUAACUUAUUAGUUUGUACUACCAACUAGAAGAAAAAUUAAGCUUGCUUUCAAGUUUCUAAAUGAAUAUUAAACCUAGAAUUUCAUAUCCAAACAAAUAAAUAAUUUAUCAAAUAUGAAGACAUUUUCAAACUUUCAAAGAUAAGUCUGUUUGCUAAGUAAGUUUCUUGAUCCAGUAAAGCAUGGGAGUAAAUAAUAGAAGGAUAAAAUUUUGGUACCCAGUAAAAACCAACCAGGGAGUACAGGGAAGGAAGACCCCAGGAUGACAGCUCAGACUUGGACCCAGUCAAUAAGGUAGAAAUGGAAGAGGAUAGAGGCCUUUGAAAGGGGUGACUGAGAGAGCAAAAGAGCCUUAAUUGUAUAACUAAGGAUACUUAAAGACUGGGAAAAUAUAAUAAUAAGAUAAAAUUACAUUAUGCAAGAAAAAAAACAAUUAGAAAUUCUAGAAAAAACCUGCAUAUGAAAAAAAGAUCCAAAUAU
This 1601-nucleotide long non-coding RNA is filed under the name Canis lupus familiaris (dog). Its description in RNAcentral is "lncRNA (ENSCAFG00000056166.1)". Lineage: Eukaryota; Metazoa; Chordata; Mammalia; Carnivora; Canidae. The record is from RNAcentral.